GACGAACGCUGGCGGCGUGCCUAAUACAUGCAAGUAGAACGCUGAAGAGAGGAGCUUACUCUUCUUGGAUGAGUUGCGAACGGGUGAGUAACGCGUAGGUAACCUGCCUUGUAGCGGGGGAUAACUAUUGGAAACGAUAGCUAAUACCGCAUAACAAUGGAUGACACAUGUCAUUUAUUUGAAAGGGGCAAUUGCUCCACUACAAGAUGGACCUGCGUUGUAUUAGCUAGUAGGUGAGGUAAUGGCUCACCUAGGCGACGAUACAUAGCCGACCUGAGAGGGUGAUCGGCCACACUGGGACUGAGACACGGCCCAGACUCUUACGGGAGGCAGCAGUAGGGAAUCUUCGGCAAUGGGGGCAACCCUGACCGAGCAACGCCGCGUGAGUGAAGAAGGUUUUCGGAUCGUAAAGCUCUGUUGUAAGUCAAGAACGGGUGUGAGAGUGGAAAGUUCACACUGUGACGGUAGCUUACCAGAAAGGGACGGCUAACUACGUG
RNAcentral lists this ribosomal RNA (497 nucleotides) under uncultured bacterium. RNAcentral's name for it is "partial 16S ribosomal RNA". It matches the Rfam family "Bacterial small subunit ribosomal RNA", at positions 28 to 507 of the family's 1533-position model. The record is from RNAcentral.